GACGAACGCUGGCGGCGUGCCUAAUACAUGCAAGUAGAACGCUGAAGAGAGGAGCUUGCUCUUCUUGGCUGAGUUGCGAACGGGUGAGUAACGCGUAGGUAACCUGCCUUGUAGCGGGGGAUAACUAUUGGAAACGAUAGCUAAUACCGCAUAACAAUGGAUGACACAUGUCAUUUAUUUGAAAGGGGCAAUUGCUCCACUACAAGAUGGACCUGCGUUGUAUUAGCUAGUAGGUGAGGUAAUGGCUCACCUAGGCGACGAUACAUAGCCGACCUGAGAGGGUGAUCGGCCACACUGGGACUGAGACACGGCCCAGACUCCUACGGGAGGCAGCAGUAGGGAAUCUUCGGCAAUGGGGGCAACCCUGACCGAGCAACGCCGCGUGAGUGAAGAAGGUUUUCGGAUCGUAAAGUUCUGUUGUAAGUCAAGAACGGGUGUGAGAGUGGAAAGUUCACACUGUGACGGUAGCUUACCAGAAAGGGACGGCUAACUACGUG
RNAcentral lists this ribosomal RNA (497 nucleotides) under uncultured bacterium. RNAcentral's name for it is "partial 16S ribosomal RNA". It matches the Rfam family "Bacterial small subunit ribosomal RNA", at positions 28 to 507 of the family's 1533-position model. The record is from RNAcentral.